This 1003-nucleotide ribosomal RNA is filed under the name Streptococcus salivarius. Its description in RNAcentral is "bacterial LSU rRNA". It matches the Rfam family "Bacterial large subunit ribosomal RNA", at positions 1376 to 2391 of the family's 2925-position model. Lineage: Bacteria; Bacillati; Bacillota; Bacilli; Lactobacillales; Streptococcaceae. The record is from RNAcentral.
UGGGUUAGUCGGGACCUAAGGAGAGACCGAAAGGUGUAUCCGAUGGCCAACAGGUUGAGAUUCCUGUACUAGAGUAUGAAGUGAUGGAGGGACGCAGUAGGCUAACUCGUGCGUACGAAUGGAUGUACGUCUAAGCAGUGAGGCGUGGUAUGAGUCAAAUGCUUAUACCUGUAACGUUGAGCUGUGAUGGGGAGCGAAGUUUAGUAGCGAGUGAGUGAUGUCACACUGCCAAGAAAAGCUUCUAGCGUUGUAUCAUACUCUACCCGUACCGCAAACCGACACAGGUAGUCGAGGCGAGUAGCCUCAGGUGAGCGAGAGAACUCUCGUUAAGGAACUCGGCAAAAUGACCCCGUAACUUCGGGAGAAGGGGUGCUGACUUUUGUCAGCCGCAGUGAAUAGGCCCAAGCAACUGUUUAUCAAAAACACAGCUCUCUGCUAAAUCGUAAGAUGAUGUAUAGGGGGUGACGCCUGCCCGGUGCUGGAAGGUUAAGAGGAGUGCUUAGCGGUAACGCGAAGGUAUGAAUUGAAGCCCCAGUAAACGGCGGCCGUAACUAUAACGGUCCUAAGGUAGCGAAAUUCCUUGUCGGGUAAGUUCCGACCCGCACGAAAGGCGUAAUGAUUUGGGCACUGUCUCAACGAGAGACUCGGUGAAAUUUUAGUACCUGUGAAGAUGCAGGUUACCCGCGACAGGACGGAAAGACCCCAUGGAGCUUUACUGCAGUUUGAUAUUGAGUGUCUGUGCCACAUGUACAGGAUAGGUAGGAGCCUAUGAAAUCGGGACGCCAGUUUCGAUGGAGGCGUUGUUGGGAUACUACCCUUGUGUUAUGGCCACUCUAACCCGGUAGGUUAAUCAUCUACGGAGACAGUGUCUGACGGGCAGUUUGACUGGGGCGGUCGCCUCCUAAAAGGUAACGGAGGCGCCCAAAGGUUCCCUCAGACUGGUUGGAAAUCAGUCGCAGAGUGUAAAGGUAUAAGGGAGCUUGACUGCGAGAGCUACAACUCG